GCAUAUCAAUAAGCGGAGGAAAAGAAACUAACAAGGAUUCCCCUAGUAACGGCGAGUGAACCGGGAAGAGCUCAAAUUCGUAAUCUGGCUGUCUUCGAUAGUCCGAGUUGUAAUCUAUAGAAGCGUUUUCCGUGCUGAACUGUGUAUAAGUCCCUUGGAACAGGGUAUCAAAGAGGGUGACAAUCCCGUACUUUACACAAUCAUCAGUGCUCUGUGAUACGUUCUCUACGAGUCGAGUUGUUUGGGAAUGCAGCUCAAAAUGGGUGGUAAAUUCCAUCUAAAGCUAAAUAUUGGCGAGAGACCGAUAGCGAACAAGUACCGUGAGGGAAAGAUGAAAAGCACUUUGGAAAGAGAGUUAAACAGUACGUGAAAUUGUUAAAAGGGAAACGAUUGAAGUCAGUCGUGUUUAUUGGAUUCAGCCGGUCUUCGGUGUACUUCCUUUAAACGGGUCAACAUCAGUUUUGUUCGGUGGAUAAAGAUGCUAGGAAUGUAGCUUCCUCGGAAGUGUUAUAGACUAGUAUUGCAUACACUGGAGGAGACUGAGGACUGCAGCUCGCCUUUUGGCCGGGGUUCGCCCACGUUCGAGCUUAGGAUGUUGACAUAAUGGCUUUAAACGACCCGUCUUGAAACACGGACC
RNAcentral lists this ribosomal RNA (637 nucleotides) under Apiotrichum gracile. RNAcentral describes it as "eukaryotic LSU rRNA". It matches the Rfam family "Eukaryotic large subunit ribosomal RNA", at positions 38 to 667 of the family's 3401-position model. Lineage: Eukaryota; Fungi; Basidiomycota; Tremellomycetes; Trichosporonales; Trichosporonaceae. The record is from RNAcentral.